This 433-nucleotide ribosomal RNA is filed under the name uncultured bacterium. RNAcentral's name for it is "partial 16S ribosomal RNA". It matches the Rfam family "Bacterial small subunit ribosomal RNA", at positions 29 to 507 of the family's 1533-position model. The record is from RNAcentral.
AACGAACGCUGGCGGCAUGCCUAACACAUGCAAGUCGAACGAGACCUUCGGGUCUAGUGGCGCACGGGUGCGUAACGCGUGGGAACCUGCCCUUAGGUUCGGAAUAACUCCCCGAAAGGGGUGCUAAUACCGGAUAAUGUCUUCGGACCAAAGAUUUAUCGCCUUUGGAUGGGCCCGCGUUGGAUUAGCUAGUUGGUAGGGUAAAAGCCUACCAAGGCGACGAUCCAUAGCUGGUCUGAGAGGAUGAUCAGCCACACUGGGACUGAGACACGGCCCAGACUCCUACGGGAGGCAGCAGUGGGGAAUAUUGGACAAUGGGCGAAAGCCUGAUCCAGGAAUGCCGCGUGAGUGAUGAAGGCCUUAGGGUUGUAAAGCUCUUUUACCCGGGAUGAUAAUGACGGUACCGGGAGAAUAAGCUCCGGCUAACUCCGUG